GAUGAAAACGUAGCGAAAUGCGAUAAGUAAUGUGAAUUGCAGAAUUCAGUGAAUCAUCGAAUCUUUGAACGCACAUUGCGCCCGCCAGUAUUCUGGCGGGCAUGCCUGUUCGAGCGUCAUUUCAACCAUCAAGCCCCCGGCUUGUGUUGGGGACCUGCGGCUGCCGCAGGCCCUGAAAACCAGUGGCGGGCUCGCUAGUCACUCCGAGCGUAGUAAUACAUCUCGCUCAGGGCGUGCUGCGGGUUCCGGCCGUUAAAAAGCCUUAUUUACCCAAGGUUGACCUCGGAUCAGGUAGGAAGACCCGCUGAACUUAAGCAUAUCAAUAAGCGGAGGA
RNAcentral lists this unclassified non-coding RNA (334 nucleotides) under soil metagenome. Its description in RNAcentral is "partial contains 5.8S ribosomal RNA, internal transcribed spacer 2, and large subunit ribosomal RNA". The stretch from base 1 to 119 matches the Rfam family "5.8S ribosomal RNA", at positions 35 to 154 of the family's 154-position model. The record is from RNAcentral.